GUGGGGACCAUUUCUUGGUCAAAAAUCCGCACGUGUUAGCCUUCGGUAUUAUUGAAAAUGGUCGUUCAUGGCUAUUUUCGUCAAAAAUGGGGGUUGUGUGGCCAUUGAUCAUUGACUAGAGGCUUGUUCACCUCACCCCACAUAUGUUUCCUUGCCAUAGAUCACAUUCUUGGAUUUCUGGUGCAGACCAUUUCUUGGUCAAAAAUCCGUAGGUGUUAGCCUUUACUAUUAUUGAAAAUGGUCGUUCAUGGCUAUUUUCGACAAAAAUGGGUGUUGUGUGGCCAUUGAUCAUUGACCAGAGGCUCAUUCACCUCACCCCACAUACAUUUCCUUGCCAUAGAUCACAUUCUAGGAUCUUUGGUGGAGACAUUUCUUGGUAAAAAUCCAUAGGUGUUAGCCUUUAGUAUUAUUGAAAAUGGUCGUUCAUACUAUUUUCGACAAAAUGGGGGUUGUGUGACCUUUGAUCGUCAACUAGAGGCUCGUACACCUCACCCCACAUAUGUUUCCUUACCAUAUAUCACAUUCUUGAAUUUCUGGUGGAGAUCAUUUCUUGGUCAAAAAUCUGUAGGUGUUAGCCUUCGGUAUUGUUGAAAAUGGUCAUUCAUGGCUAUUUUCGACAAAACGGGGGUUGUGUGGCCAUUGAUCAUCGACCAGAGGCUCGUACACCUCACCCCACAUAUGUUUCCUUGCCAUAGAUCUCAUUCUUGGAUUUCUGGUGGAGACUAUUUCUUGGUCAAAAAUUCGUAGCCGUUAACCUUCGGUAUUAUUGAAAAUGGUCGUUCAUCCUAGUAUCGACAAAAAUGGGAGUUGUGUAGCCAUUGACCAUCGAAAAUGGGGGCUUGUACACCUCAACCCACAUAUGUUUCUAUGCCAUAGAUCAGAUUCUUGGAUUUUUGGUGGAGACCAUUUCUUGGUCAAAAAUCCGUAGGUGUUAGCUUUCGGUAUUAUUGAAA
RNAcentral lists this long non-coding RNA (953 nucleotides) under Zea mays. RNAcentral's name for it is "long non-coding RNA (ZMAY_LNC005167)". Lineage: Eukaryota; Viridiplantae; Streptophyta; Magnoliopsida; Poales; Poaceae. The record is from RNAcentral.